GGCUCAGAUUGAACGCUGGCGGAAUGCUUUACACAUGCAAGUCGAACGGCAGCAGGGGCAACUGGUGGCGAGUGGCGAACGGGUGAGUAAUACAUCGGAACGUGCCCAAUCGUGGGGAUAACGUAGCGAAAGUUACGCUAAUACCGCAUACGAUCUACGGAUGAAAGCGGGGGAUCGCAAGACCUCGCGCGAAUGGAGCGGCCGAUGUCAGAUUAGGUAGUUGGUGGGGUAAAGGCUCACCAAGCCAACGAUCUGUAGCUGGUCUGAGAGGACGACCAGCCACACUGGAACUGAGACACGGUCCAGACUCCUACGGGAGGCAGCAGUGGGGAAUUUUGGACAAUGGGCGCAAGCCUGAUCCAGCCAUUCCGCGUGCAGGAUGAAGGCCUUCGGGUUGUAAACUGCUUUUGUACGGAACGAAACGGCGAGCUCUAAUACAGUUUGCUAAUGACGGUACCGUAAGAAUAAGCACCGGCUAACUACGUG
Molecule: ribosomal RNA, 486 nt
Filed under: uncultured bacterium
Lineage: Bacteria
Description: bacterial SSU rRNA
Rfam family: Bacterial small subunit ribosomal RNA
Source: RNAcentral